RNAcentral lists this ribosomal RNA (615 nucleotides) under uncultured bacterium. RNAcentral's name for it is "bacterial SSU rRNA". It matches the Rfam family "Bacterial small subunit ribosomal RNA", at positions 338 to 948 of the family's 1533-position model. The record is from RNAcentral.
CCUACGGGAGGCAGCAGUGGGGAAUUUUGGACAAUGGGCGCAAGCCUGAUCCAGCAAUGCCGCGUGAGUGAAGAAGGCCUUCGGGUUGUAAAGCUCUUUUGUCAGGGAAGAAACGGUCUCAGCUAAUAUCUGGAGCUAAUGACGGUACCUGAAGAAUAAGCACCGGCUAACUACGUGCCAGCAGCCGCGGUAAUACGUAGGGUGCAAGCGUUAAUCGGAAUUACUGGGCGUAAAGCGUGCGCAGGCGGUUUUGUAAGUCUGUCGUGAAAGCCCCGGGCUCAACCUGGGAAUUGCGAUGGAGACUGCAAGGCUUGAAUCUGGCAGAGGGGGGUAGAAUUCCACGUGUAGCAGUGAAAUGCGUAGAGAUGUGGAGGAACACCGAUGGCGAAGGCAGCCCCCUGGGUCAAGAUUGACGCUCAUGCACGAAAGCGUGGGGAGCAAACAGGAUUAGAUACCCUGGUAGUCCACGCCCUAAACGAUGUCUACUAGUUGUCGGGUUUUAAUUAACUUGGUUAACGCAGCUAACGCGUGAAGUAGACCGCCUGGGGAUACGGUCGCAGNUUAAAACUCAAAGGAUUGACGGCNGAGAGNGCGAGACGACGACGAGGGAGGAGG